CUGAAGGGGUGGACCUUGACUCCACCUCCUCUAAGACCUCAUUUAAGGGCUGACCACCACUGAGGCAGCAUCUCUUGGAGAUUGCUCCCCAGUGGAGACUGCCUCAGCUUUCCAGUCAAGGCAUUGACAUUGGUGAGUUUUCCUUUGCUAAUAACCUUUGAUUAUCUACCAUCAUCUUUAUAAACAUCCGUAUAUUAGCCACCCUUGCUCUAUACCCCUGCUCUCAUUCUUUGAACAGCCACCUGUUCUGAUCUCUGUCUGUGCCUCUUUGCUGUGUUUCACCUUUUGAUAACAGAGGGCAACUUUUGUGAGGAGGGGAAACAAAAAGUGAAUUUUGGUGUGGGUUCCAAAUACUUUGUGCUUCUGCAUCCUAAAAUUCAAGCUGACAUUACCAGACGUGUGGCUGUACCAUAGCCAGUCUAACUCCCAAGCAACAUGUGCAGCUGUACGGGGUUCUCUCCAAGCCUCCCUGAGAGCCCAGCUUGUCUUGAGAAGUGCAUAACAACAAUUCAGACAGAUGAUUUUGCUUGAGGAUGAGUCUCUAUGCAGUGCUCAGGCUUUGCUAACCUUUCCUGAAAGGAGCCACAGGUUUCCUGUUGGGUUGUAACAGUGAGGCUUGUGAAGGGUGAUCCAUUGCAGAAGGUCUUUAUGAGGCUGAGUGACUUGACAAUAAAAUGACAGAUUAAAUCCA
RNAcentral lists this long non-coding RNA (691 nucleotides) under Coturnix japonica (Japanese quail). RNAcentral describes it as "lncRNA (ENSCJPG00005005443.1)". Lineage: Eukaryota; Metazoa; Chordata; Aves; Galliformes; Phasianidae. The record is from RNAcentral.